This 301-nucleotide ribosomal RNA is filed under the name uncultured bacterium. RNAcentral's name for it is "partial 16S ribosomal RNA". It matches the Rfam family "Bacterial small subunit ribosomal RNA", at positions 509 to 807 of the family's 1533-position model. The record is from RNAcentral.
CAGCAGCCGCGGGAAUACCGAGGGUGCGAGCGUUAAUUGGAUUUACUGGGCGUAAAGCGUGCGUAGGCGGCUUCUUAAGUCGGAUGUGAAAUCCCUGAGCUUAACUUAGGAAUUGCAUUCGAUACUGGGAAGCUAGAGUAUGGGAGAGGAUGGUAGAAUUCCAGGUGUAGCGGUGAAAUGCGUAGAGAUCUGGAGGAAUACCGAUGGCGAAGGCAGCCAUCUGGCCUAAUACUGACGCUGAGGUACGAAAGCAUGGGGAGCAAACAGGAUUAGAUACCCCUGUAGUCCCUGUCUCUUAUAC